GUGGGUCGUAAACCUCUUUUCUCAGGGAAGAAGUACUGACGGUACCUGAGGAAUCAGCAUCGGCUAACUCCGUGCCAGCAGCCGCGGUAAGACGGAGGAUGCAAGCGUUAUCCGGAAUUAUUGGGCGUAAAGCGUCCGUAGGUGGUUUCGAAAGUCUGUUGUUAAAGCUCACAGCUCAACUGUGAAUCGGCAAUGGAAACUGCGAGACUAGAGUGUGGUAGGGGUAGAGGGAAUUCCUAGUGUAGCGGUGAAAUGCGUAGAUAUUAGGAAGAACACCAGUGGCGAAGGCGCUCUACUGGGCCAUAACUGACACUGAUGGACGAAAGCUAGGGGAGCGAAAGGGAUUAGAUACCCCUGUAGUCCUAGCUGUAAACGAUGGACACUAGGUGUUGGCCGUAUCGACCCGGUCAGUAUCGAAGCAAACGCGUUAAGUGUCCCGCCUGGGGAGUACGCACGCAAGUGUGAAACUCAAAGGAAUUGACGGGGGCCCGCACAAGCGGUGGAGUAUGUGGUUUAAUUCGAUGCAACGCGAAGAACCUUACCAGGGUUUGACAUCCUACGAACUUCUGAGAGAUCAGUUGGUGCCUUCGGGAGCGUAGAGACAGGUGGUGCAUGGCUGUCGUCAGCUCGUGUCGUG
This 637-nucleotide ribosomal RNA is filed under the name Oscillatoriales cyanobacterium RCC1769. RNAcentral's name for it is "bacterial SSU rRNA". It matches the Rfam family "Bacterial small subunit ribosomal RNA", at positions 418 to 1069 of the family's 1533-position model. The record is from RNAcentral. Lineage: Bacteria; Bacillati; Cyanobacteriota; Cyanophyceae; Oscillatoriales.